This 212-nucleotide unclassified non-coding RNA is filed under the name plant metagenome. RNAcentral's name for it is "partial contains small subunit ribosomal RNA, internal transcribed spacer 1, and 5.8S ribosomal RNA". The record is from RNAcentral.
UCUCCGUUGGUGAACCAGCGGAGGGAUCAUUACCGAGUUUACAACUCCCAAACCCCUGUGAACAUACCUUACUGUUGCCUCGGCGGAUCAGCCCGCGCCCCGUAAAACGGGACGGCCCGCCAGAGGACCCAAACUCUAAUGUUUCUUAUUGUAACUUCUGAGUAAAACAAACAAAUAAAUCAAAACUUUCAACAGCGGAUCUCUUGGUUCUG